CGCUGGCGGCGCACAUAAGACAUGCAAGUCGAACGGAAGUCGUUAUAUUGAUUUGAAGAGAACGGAGAACUGUCAAAGGGACAUGAUGAAGAUUAUAACAAUGGCUUUAGUGGCGGACUGGUGAGUAAUACGUAAGCAACCUGCCUAUUAGAGGGGAACAACAGUUAGAAAUGACUGCUAAUACCGCAUAUGCCAUAGUAACCACAUGGUUACAGUGGGAAAGGAGCAAUCCGCUGAUAGAUGGGCUUACGGCUGAUUAGCUAGUUGGUGGGGUAACGGCCUACCAAGGCGACGAUCAGUAGCCGGACUGAGAGGUUAGACGGCCACAUUGGGACUGAGAUACGGCCCAGACUCCUACGGGAGGCAGCAGUCGGGAAUUUUGCGCAAUGGAGGAAACUCUGACGCAGUGACGCCGCGUGCAGGAAGAAGGUUUUCGGAUUGUAAACUGCUUUAGACAGGGAAGAAAAAGGACAGUACCUGUAGAAUAAGCUCCGGCUAACUACGUGCCAGCAGCCGC
RNAcentral lists this ribosomal RNA (517 nucleotides) under uncultured bacterium. RNAcentral's name for it is "bacterial SSU rRNA". It matches the Rfam family "Bacterial small subunit ribosomal RNA", at positions 34 to 518 of the family's 1533-position model. The record is from RNAcentral.